Long non-coding RNA from Balaenoptera musculus (blue whale), 786 nucleotides. RefSeq lists it as uncharacterized. The record is from RefSeq and is a predicted model, not a curated record. The transcript has 6 exons. Lineage: Eukaryota; Metazoa; Chordata; Mammalia; Artiodactyla; Balaenopteridae.
UGGAGAACUCCCACGGCUCUGGCCUCCCCUCCCCCUCCUUGCUCGCUGCCUCCUAGCAAGAAGGAGAAGACUGGUUAGCAGAGAAAUGGCAACUCGGCCGGGAGCUGGAACUAGAAACUUUCUGUCAAUGUAACAGACGCGUGGGUGGUGACCCAAUGGUGGCUGGGCUUCGGGUCACGUGACGACUUCUUUGUCGCUCCGGAAGAGAACUGUGAAGUUUAGGUUGCGUGAGAAUUGCCAGGAAAAAAAAAAAUCAAGAUUUGGGGGAAUUACCCACAUAGACGGAAGGUGUGUUAACUUGGGCGCUUCUUGGAUUCUACCCUGAGGAGGAGGCGCAUGGUGAGAGGAGAGGUUCCUUUCAUCCAGAGUCUAGCCUGGAGAAAAAACUGAGUAUCUCUGAAAGAGGCAGGAGGGACAAGCAAGUUGAGCAGGGAACCUUCUGGUGUGAGGGAUACUCUCUUUCCCCUCCCACCUCACGAAGACUGCAGCCUGACCUAGAAACUUCCUGAAGAUUUUUAACCUCCAGAGCCAGUGGAACUGAGCCUCCUCCAUGGCCUUGCUGCAGUCUGUUUCCUUUGAUUUUUCUAAAGGAGAAAAGAAGAAAGAAAUUGGAUAACUGCUGGACUUUUCUACUGAGAGAUGGAAAAGUGCUUUCUAAAACAGAAAAUUUUUCCCUAGGAAAAAAGAAAGUAAACAAAGCAAUUUGAACAAUAUUAUUCUCUGGGUUGGAAACUGGGUGCCCCUGUUUACUGAAGUUCUCUGAGGCCAAAAAAAAAAAAAGAUUAU